RNAcentral lists this unclassified non-coding RNA (151 nucleotides) under uncultured Rutstroemia. RNAcentral's name for it is "sequence contains ITS2". The record is from RNAcentral. Lineage: Eukaryota; Fungi; Ascomycota; Leotiomycetes; Helotiales; Rutstroemiaceae.
CAACCCUCAAGCUUUGCUUGGUAUUGGGCUUUCAUCAGUAAAACGAUGGGCCUCAAAAUCAGUGGCGGCACCGUUGGGUCCUGAACGUAGUAAUAUAUUUCGUUACGGGUACCCCGCGCGUUUCUGCCAUUAAACCCCCAAUUUUCUAUGG